AUGGCUUCUGCUGCCCGCGUGCUGACGCCAAUGGCGCUGCUGCUCUCGCUCGCGCUCCAGCUCGCGGCGGCCGCGGUGUCGCCCCCCGGUCCCAGACCCACCUUCCCGGGCGACGCGGCCGCACUGGCGUCGCUGAAAGCCGCCGUGGACGCCGCCACCGUCCCGUCCUACUCCUGCCUCGCCUCGUGGGACUUCUCCCGCGACCCCUGCGCCGCCUUCCCCUGCGGCGUCCACUGCAACACGCCCCCCAACUCGUCCCACCAGCGCGUCGCCGGCGUCUCCCUCGACCCCGCGGGGUACUCCGGCACGCUCCCGGCGCCCGUCUUCGCCUCGCUCCCUUUCCUCCAGACCCUCUCCCUCCGUGGCAACCGCUUCCACGGCUCGCUGCCAGCGGGGGUGGCGCUGCCUCCGAGCCUCCGCGUCCUCGUCCUCUCCGGCAACGACUUCUCCGGCGAGAUACCGACGUCCCUCUUCACCCCGGCCUCGUCGCUCGACGAGCUCGACCUCUCCCGCAACGCGUUCACCGGCGCGAUACCGCCUCAGGUCGCGUCCUUGGGCGCCCUGACGCGGAUGGAGCUGCAGCACAACCGCCUCACCGGGAGCCUGCCGUCGAUGGGCAAGAUGCGCUCCCUCGUCCACCUCGACGUCAGCGACAACAAGCUGUCCGGCCCGCUGCUGGACGCGCCCGGGCGGCUGCCUCCGACGGUCCUGGCCGUCGUGGCGCGUGACAACAGGCUCUCUGGGCCGUUGCAAGCCGCGGCCUUCCACGCUCUCCCUGAGAUGCAGGUGCUGGACCUCACCAACAAUGCGGUCACCGGCGCGGUCCCCGGCGCGGCGUUCGAGCACCCGGCGCUGGCGCAGCUGCGGCUGGGAUCCAACCAGCUCGGGACGGUGGAAGAGGCGUCCGACGGCGUCGCGUCGAGCCAGCUCCUGGAGGUGGACCUCAGCGGCAACAGAAUCACGGGGCGGCUGCCCAGGUGCCUCGGGGCGAUUCCGCGUCUCAGGACGGUGGGGCUCGACCGGAACCAGUUCGUCGGAGGCGUGCCGAAGCAGUACGCCGUGCGGGCCGCGGCGGUGGAGGUCGUCGACGGGAAGGCGCCGUUUGCGAAGCUGAUGCUGCAAGGGAACUACCUCUGCGGAGGCCUGCCCAGUGAGCUGAGGCAGAUGGAGGAGGGCGGCGCCAUGGUGAGCCUGGCGGACAAUUGCUUGCUGAAGUGUCCGCACAAGUUCUUCUUCUGCCAGGGGCCGCCGCAGAAGAACCGUGCCGCAUGUCCCAAGUGCGAACCGUGA
Molecule: ribosomal RNA, 1290 nt
Filed under: Triticum aestivum (bread wheat)
Lineage: Eukaryota; Viridiplantae; Streptophyta; Magnoliopsida; Poales; Poaceae
Description: partial small subunit ribosomal RNA
Source: RNAcentral